CCUGAACGCUGGCGGCGUGGCUAAGACAUGCAAGUCGCACGGUGUAGCAAUACACAGUGGCGAACGGGUGAGUAAUGAAUCGCUAAUGUGCCCCGGACUCUGGGAUAGCCAGCCGAAAGGCUGGGUAAUACCAGAUGAGACCACGAACAGGCAUCUGUUUGUGCUCAAAGGUCCGCCGGUCUGGGAGCAGGCGAUUUCGUAUCAGCUAGUUGGGAGGUAACGGCUCACUAAGGCGACGACGCGUAGCCGGACUGAGAGGUUGGCCGGCCACAUUGGGACUGAGACACUGCCCAGACUCCUACGGGGGGCUGCAGUAACGAAUCUUCCGCAAUGUACGAAAGUAUGACGGAGCGACGCCGCGUGUGGGACGAAGCCC
RNAcentral lists this ribosomal RNA (376 nucleotides) under uncultured bacterium. Its description in RNAcentral is "bacterial SSU rRNA". It matches the Rfam family "Bacterial small subunit ribosomal RNA", at positions 30 to 416 of the family's 1533-position model. The record is from RNAcentral.